CAGAUUUCUACAAUGGGCAUGCAGCACCAUGAUGGCUGGGGAGGAAAAAACUAAAAAUCAAAAAGUCAAAAAUUAAAACAAAAGCUGGUUUUAUUGAUCGAUAACUGCACAUUUUUGGUUGGAGGUGCCAGCUCUUGACGAAUUUGCAGCCCUCUCACUCUCGAUAUUGGAGCUUCUUCCUCCUGUGCUGUCUUCUCUGCCUGGGGAAAUUUGUGUCCCUCAGCUAGGCCACCCAGGGGAAUCACAUGAUGAUCCUGAACAUUCCAUCCCAUCAGGCUGUGCACAGGACUGGCUGCAUCUGAGAUCAAACGAUGUUCAAAGAAAGUUCAGACUCCAGCACUCCAGUUAGGGCAAGCCUCUUAAAAGGUGAGCGUCUUGAUACCUCAAUGUAAUAAAGGCC
This 400-nucleotide long non-coding RNA is filed under the name Homo sapiens (human). RNAcentral describes it as "HSALNT0250766". The record is from RNAcentral. Lineage: Eukaryota; Metazoa; Chordata; Mammalia; Primates; Hominidae.